This 119-nucleotide ribosomal RNA is filed under the name Nelumbo nucifera (sacred lotus). Lineage: Eukaryota; Viridiplantae; Streptophyta; Magnoliopsida; Proteales; Nelumbonaceae. The record is from RNAcentral.
GGGUGUGAUCAUACCAGUACUAAUGCACUGGAUCCCAUCAGAACACCGUAGUUAAGCAUGCUUGGGCGAGAGUAGUACUAGGAUGGGUGAACUCCUUGGAAGUCCUCGUGUUGUACCCC